Long non-coding RNA from Triticum dicoccoides, 1037 nucleotides. RefSeq lists it as uncharacterized. NCBI's taxonomy places the organism in Eukaryota, Viridiplantae, Streptophyta, Magnoliopsida, Poales, Poaceae. The record is from RefSeq and is a predicted model, not a curated record. The transcript is spliced from 5 exons.
CAAAAAUUUUGGCAUCGAAGGAAGUAUAGACUCGGCCCCAAUCUCCCAGAAUCUUCUUCCAAAUUGCCCCCAAAUCGAGUCUAUUGUGCCCUCGCCGCCGCCCCCAACCGCGAUGUGCCCUCGCCGCCGCCCUGCAACCACCGCCACUCCGACCAUUGCCGGCGUCGCCCCCAGCACCCUACCGUAGCGCCGCCGAGCACCAACUAACACGGAUCUAAUUCCCCGCCGGCCGGCCCCGUCGCCGAGCCCUUCGCCCCUGUCAAGUAUCCUCAGAUCUCGUCCGCCGUUCGCUUCAUUCCCAGCGCCGCCCAAAUGUGGUCUAUCCAUCCACGCAUUCUCCUCUCGCAGCACCAUCUACUUGGCAUCUCUCCCGAACUGCCGAGAUGAGGCAUGCGCCGGGCUAGGGUUUGGCGCCGCCGGCCCUCCUGGUCGUCCUACUCCGGUGCUUGCUCCUCCGCCGCUGGUCCACCUCGACGUCGUGCUCGCCCAUCAUCCUUUGUCCGUGCUCCCCCAGUUCGUGCUUCUACGGCCUCCCCCUCUUGUACUUCGAGCCUAAGAAUCACAGGUCAAUAGAUGUUGGUGUUCAAAUUACAGGAGACAGGAGACACUCGCAGUUUGGCUGUGUCCAUGCUGCUGCUUUUGCCUAAGAUGGAUUCAAUUAAUUGAGAUGGAGGUGGAUUAUAAUACUUUGGUGAUAAUAACACCAGCCUUACAGCCAUAUCAUUUACGAAUAACUCCAUAAGAUUUCCCAAAGGACCUUCAAGUUGCUGAAGAUUUGGAAGACCUACAAUUAAGUUGGUGGAGUGAUAAUGUCAUUUGUCUUGUUUGUUGAACCUAGAGACUUGAUAUGCUCAUUUUGUUGGUUAUUAAGCUCAUUUUGGUUGUGUGGCACACAUCUAGAAACAUAUGUACAUCUCCUUUUGUGGCACUAUUUUAUUUUGGUUGUGUGGCAAACAUAUAUGUACUCCUUUUGUGGCACAACCUCCUUAUAUAUGGACGAAUGAAGUUUUAAGGUUUUCAAUGAAGCUUAUAUGUUA